UAUAUUUCUUGUUGGUGAAUUAUUGCUGUCUCAUGAUCUUAGUGUUGGAAAGAUUCUGACAACUCCUUGUUCCGGCUCCUUUUAUGAAAUGAGCAUUAGGAGCGCCCAGGUGACAGCUGAGACCUGGCUCACACAUGGGUGCUGCAUUUCUUCAUGGGAGAGGGGUGAGGCAAACCCUAUCCCCAACUCUUAUCAACCAUUUGGCUGCCAAAACUGAGGACAGGCUCAAAACACCAACUCUUGAAAGGGUAUCCCUAGCCCACUGCAUGACUGGGUCUCCUUACUUCAAACAACCAAGGAUGGAACUGCAUUUUUGCUAGUUGCUGGCAUUAGAUCUGUACCCAUUCCGCUAAAGACCUGAAAUGAUUUACAGAAGAAUCCCAGUGGUGUAGACGGAUCGUCAGCAUGGCCAGAGAGCGCAUGGACGCGGAAGUUUUCUGUGGAUUUCCAGAGUUGCUACAGGAGAAGAUGAGAAAGGCCAAGAUUGCUACUGGUAGGUGAGGUGGCUGAAGUUAUUG
Molecule: long non-coding RNA, 518 nt
Filed under: Fukomys damarensis (Damara mole-rat)
Lineage: Eukaryota; Metazoa; Chordata; Mammalia; Rodentia; Bathyergidae
Description: lncRNA (ENSFDAG00000028172.1)
Source: RNAcentral